RNAcentral lists this unclassified non-coding RNA (3241 nucleotides) under Hevea brasiliensis (rubber tree). Lineage: Eukaryota; Viridiplantae; Streptophyta; Magnoliopsida; Malpighiales; Euphorbiaceae. The record is from RNAcentral.
UGAGACGAUUUAGUAUCAUUGAGUUAAAAUAUUUAAAUACAACAGAAAGAAAAAGAUAAAUCAAUCAACUACUGUGUUACAAGAGAUUAUCUCAAUUAACCUAAAUGGUUACAACAGAAGAAAUUCUAAAAACACCAGGUGAUCAAAUCCUAUCUGUAAUAUUAAUAUAUAUCACCUAGCCACAUUGAAAAAGUAAGAAAACAAAUAAAAAAAAAAUAAAGAAACUGCUACUAUAUGGUCCUGUCCAGAAACAUCAAUGAAUUUAAAGUAAUUCUAUCUCUGUCAUAGUUGAUGAUCUCUGCAAAAUUAGCUGCCAAAAUAGACUACAACUAACCUUUGGUGGCUUGGAACUUUAACAAAAGUUAUUACCAUCUUAUUAAUUGUGCAAAUCAAAGAGAAGAAAGAAAUGGGAAAAUAAGUUAGAAUUUUUAGGUGUGAGGCUCCUAAUUCCCUGAACAUGAACUUGCUCCCACAAUAUCUUCACUUGUGUGCUUAAUAGAAAUGGAUGUGGGUGACAUAGGCAAAGUUAUGGUCAAAUGCAAAAUAAUGGUGGAGAAGAUUCUAUGUAGAUUAUGUUCCAUACUGAGGAAAAAAUAUUCACCAGACAGUAUAUUUAUAUAUGUUAUCUUCUUUUGAUUAUUUGGACCAGCUAAGGUGCAAAACCACCAUAAAUUUGGGGAUAUUUGUUGGACAAAUAUCUUCACCAUCUUUGUCUGGCCUAGCCCAUCCCUAGCUAGCAACCCUUUUUUAAUCGAACCCAGUUAUGCUUCUCUGCUUUGACAAUUUCUUAUGUUUCUUUAGUCUCACUUCAAUGAAAGAGCACUCGGACUAUAGCCCAUACUUGGGACUUAAUAAUUAGAUUAGACCCACUUCUUAGUGAACUCAUCAAAUUAACUGAUCAUAACAUCAAAUGAAGUAGGGACUCCCAUAGAAGUUCUGAUGGAUGAGCUUUUAAGAAUGUCAGGUCAUAAUAGUAUCAUCUGUUUCAAUUUAUGAUUUAAUAGUACUCCCUAUAAAUGAAGGAGAAAUGAUCAAAACAUUUAGGAAGGAUUCAAUGUGAAAAAGUGAAUUGUGCGUAUUAGGAUCGCCCGUUGACAUGGAUUAACGGUGCUAUCUAUGUUAAGUUUUGUCUAAAUUUAUUAUUAAUAAAAUUUUACUCAUAAAAAAAUUAAAAAAAAAAUUGAAGAUAACUUUAAUUAAUAAUUUAAGUAGAAGAUGAAGAUAGUUUAAUUAAAACCAAAGCCUUCGUGUAUGAAAUAUCAGUCCCCUCUAGCUCCACCUUCUGUAUCAAAGUAGGAAUGCCCUCCCAUGCUGCUGCUAACACUUUCCACGAAAGCAAAUCUCAUAUCUUCGGAUGGUUUCCAAUGCCGUUUCCGCUGGUUGAUGAACCAGUUGUUGAUCUGCUUUUGAUCUAGGCCAGUAAUCUCUGAUAACUUCACCUUCUCCUCUUCCGUAGGAUAUGGCCAUCUAUAAUGAUUAUUCCACCAGUCCAAAAGAAUCAUCCUCGCAUCCUUUGGUAGCUUGCCUUUCUUUCUUUUCUUUGAGAAUUCCUUUCUUAAAUUGCUAAGAUAACCACUGUACUUGCGCAAGAGCAUUCCUUUAAGAUCUUCAUCACAAGGCCGCCCACCACCUGAAGAUUCUUGACUUUCUGACGCUUCAACCUCGCCACAGCUCAACUCCUCGUCUGAAGUUCCUGCGGCUUCAUCAGAGGCAUAAUAAUCAAAGGUUUUUGUCAGUGUUCCUUUACAAAGAUUACUCAGUUGUAAUUCUAUGUUGCCCAAGAAUGUAGUCGCCUCAUCGAACGGCCUGGAUAGCUCCUCCUUGUAUCUAUGGAGUACCUCACAGUACGAUUCCUUGAAAAAACAACAGCAGUUUUUAGGCCCUAGCUAAUUGUUCCAAGAAUGUUAAUUACUAUUAGAACAUAAAUUACACUAAUAAAUUAAUGUUCCUUUUGAUGGCUAUAAAAAGCCAGGAAAGAAGACGUUAGAAAAAUUUAGAAUCUUGUAAUUUGGAUUAGAAUAAGAGUUGUGAGAUUCAAAGUAGAGUUGUCUCAUUUCUUUUUUCAUGAAUUUUCUUGAGAACCAAACACACGAGGAAAGUGAAAUUAAAGACUUUAUGAAAAAUGAAACUUUGGCUUUCACCAUGAACUCGUCAAGUUCUGGAUCAGCUCCUACAUCGCUGCAGCAACUCUUGAUUGAAUACUUGUCCCCGCCUAUUUCUUCAAGAAGAGACGCCAUUUCUGGUGGUGCACCAACCUUUUGGCAUUCUAUGUAAGCAGAUACUAGGUCUGGAUAACGAGGGUGAUUGGCGAUCUGGGUCUUGAUUAGAUCAACCCUAUUUGAUUCAAAAACUUGGGCAUGACCACCCGCUUGAAAUUGAAGUAAAUUACCAACCGAAGUGUGAAAGUCAUGAGUAGCAGCAGUAGUAGUAGAAGGAGGAGAAGAAGAAGCAGUGAAGUUUGCAGGGAAGUUUUGAACUGCUACAAUAUUUUCCGAACAAGAAAUAGUAGGAUCAAGCCUAUACAAAUCCUCCAUGGAUGUUUACACGCGCAGAAGACGGUCCUAAAAGUAUCAAUCUGGAAUCUUGAAAUAAGCUGAUGAGCUUUUUCAAGAGAUCUUUAACCUGGUGAUGAUAAGCUAGCAAGCCACUAAGAUGGGCAAUAUCUUCAGGCAUAUAUAUCAUCAAAAGACUCGGACAAAAUCUCUUCAAGCACGAAAGACUAAAGAGCAGCUGAUAAGAACAACUCCAAACCCAAGAAUCCCAUAAGAGAGAGAGAAUUAGCGAAGAAAAAUACAGUUAGUACUACUUGUCAUCUUCUUCCAUUUCUCGUUCUUCUAGAGCUAAAAAAUACAGCUAGUAUUAGGAAUAAGAUGCACGAUCUAAACUCUAAACAGUAAAACCAAGGAGAGAGAGGUGAAGAGGAAGUUUCAGUUACUAACUAGCAGCAACAAGACCCCAUUAAAAAAAAGCUCGAAAUUCAAGAGAGACUACAGUAGAUGCAGAAUAAAACCCAAGUGAGGUUUGAUUUUGAAGCACCCAUUACAGUGACUCCAAGUUCGAAAAAUCCCAGUUACAGAAAGAGAGAGAAAGAGAGAAGUCCUAAUCUUAUGAAGUAACCUGAACUGGGCUUGGAAAAAGACCAGACCUAACUUUCUUUCCCAAGAAGAGGGCUCAGAUAAAGUGGACAGAGAUAGAGAUAGAGAUAGAGAUGGAGAGAGCAUGUAACAAAUGCUGAAAACCU